AGCAGUCGCCGCGGUAAGACGAACCGUGCGAACGUUAAUCGGAAUUACUGGGCGUAAAGCGUGCGCAGGCGGUUAGAUAAGCCAGAUGUGAAAUCCCCGAGCUCAACUUGGGAACUGCGUUUGGAACUGUUUAACUAGAGUGCGUCAGAGGGGGGUGGAAUUCCGCGUGUAGCAGUGAAAUGCGUAGAGAUGCGGAGGAACACCGUUGGCGAAGGCAGCCCCCUGGGAUGACACUGACGCUCAUGCACGAAAGCGUGGGGAGCAAACAGGAUUAGAUACCCGCGUAGUCCCUGUCUCUUAUAC
Molecule: ribosomal RNA, 303 nt
Filed under: uncultured bacterium
Lineage: Bacteria
Description: partial 16S ribosomal RNA
Rfam family: Bacterial small subunit ribosomal RNA
Source: RNAcentral